GAUGAACGCUGGCGGCGUGCUUAACACAUGCAAGUCGAACGGACAGACCAUGCUCUUGCGCGGCGCACGUGAGCCGCGGGCGUGAGUAUAACACGUGUAUAACCUACCUGUAAGUCGGGUAUAACUUGGAGACACCGGAUCUUAUACCGUAGAAGAUAUUGAACCGCGGUGGGCGAUGGUAAGAUUCGGUUUUUGUGGCACGUAUCGAUGGAUCCGCGCCGCAUUAGCUAGUUGUGAAGUUAACGGCUUACCAAGGGAACGAGGCGUAGACGAAGUGAGAGGGUGAUCGCCGACACGAGAACUGAGCCACGCUCCAGACGACUACGGGAGGCAGCAGUAGGGAAUCUUCCGCAACGGGGGAAAGCUUUGCGGAGCAACGCCGAGUGAGAGAUGAAGGUCUUCGGAUCGUAAAACCCUGUUAUUAGGGAAGAACCAAUGUGUACGUAACUAUGGACGUAUUGACGGUAACUAAUAAGAAAGCAACGGCUAACUACGUG
Molecule: ribosomal RNA, 497 nt
Filed under: uncultured bacterium
Lineage: Bacteria
Description: partial 16S ribosomal RNA
Rfam family: Bacterial small subunit ribosomal RNA
Source: RNAcentral